RNAcentral lists this ribosomal RNA (253 nucleotides) under uncultured bacterium. Its description in RNAcentral is "partial 16S ribosomal RNA". It matches the Rfam family "Bacterial small subunit ribosomal RNA", at positions 524 to 776 of the family's 1533-position model. The record is from RNAcentral.
UACGAAGGGUGCAAACGUUGCUCGGAAUUAUUGGGCGUAAAGCGCACGUAGGCGGCUUAGCAAGUCGGAAGUGAAAUCCCUCGGCUCAACCAAGGAAGUGCUUUCGAAACUGCUGAGCUUGAGUACUUAAGAGGAUCGCGGAAUUCCCGGUGUAGAGGUGAAAUUCGUAGAUAUUCGGAGGAACACCAGUGGCGAAGGCGGCUCACUGGUCCGGUACUGACGCUGAGGUGCGAAAGCGUGGGGAGCAAACAGG